UAGGAAUAUUGGACAAUGGGGGAAACCCUGAUCCAGCCAUACCGCGUGUGUGAAGAAGGCCUGCGGGUUGUAAAGCACUUUUAGUGGGGAAGAUAAUGACGUUACCCACAGAAAAAGCACCGGCUAACUCCGUGCCAGCAGCCGCGGUAAUACGGAGGGUGCAAGCGUUAAUCGGAAUUACUGGGCGUAAAGCGUGCGUAGGCGGCUCUUUAAGUCGGAUGUGAAAUCCCCGGGCUCAACCUGGGAACUGCAUCCGAUACUGGGGAGCUAGAAUGUGGGAGAGGGAAGUGGAAUUUCCGGUGUAGCGGUGAAAUGCAUAGAGAUCGGAAGGAACAUCAGUGGCGAAGGCGACUUCCUGGACCAACAGUGACGCUGAGGCACGAAAGCGUGGGUAGCAAAC
RNAcentral lists this ribosomal RNA (400 nucleotides) under uncultured bacterium. RNAcentral describes it as "bacterial SSU rRNA". It matches the Rfam family "Bacterial small subunit ribosomal RNA", at positions 356 to 773 of the family's 1533-position model. The record is from RNAcentral.